Molecule: long non-coding RNA, 1233 nt
Filed under: Corvus moneduloides (New Caledonian crow)
Lineage: Eukaryota; Metazoa; Chordata; Aves; Passeriformes; Corvidae
Description: lncRNA (ENSCMUG00000008092.2)
Source: RNAcentral
GGCAACCCCGCAGCCGUGACGUCUUUGAGGUCACCGAUCCCCGGCCCCAUCCGGCGCGGCCGGAGCGGGUGCGGGCCGUGUCCCCGGGGAGAAGCGGGACUGGAGCGGCCUCCAGGGGCCCGGCCCUGCUCUCCCGCUGCGGCGGGGGCGCAGGGGACCCGCCAGCCUCCCUCCCGCGCCCGGGGCAGUGCGUACCUCCGCUCCGGCCCGAUCCCGGUCCCAGGGCCGCCGCCAGGUGUGGGCGGCCGCGGCCGCCGCUGCCCCGGGGGGGACGCUGGCCCCGGUGGCGGAGCUGUGCCCGCGCCGCCCCGCCGCGCAUCCCCCUGCCCGCGCUGCCGAGCGGCCCCAGGCGGGAGCUCCCCGCGGCGAGCCGAGCACGGAGCGGCCCCGCCGCAGCGCCGGCGCCUCCGAGCGCGACGAGCACCGGGGCGGCUCCGCCGGCGGCCCCUGGCGGCGGCGGCCCGCAGCGCCGCACGGCCCGGUACGGCCCGGCCCCGGUGUGGACCCGUGCCGCUCUCUGUGGCGGUCUCUGCUCCAGACUCCCGAGGUGAGACCCGCCUUUGGCUGAGGGUGGUACAAGCAAUUCAGUUCGUGCUCUGUGCUGGCUUCAGCGCAAAACUGAUGAUUCCAACGAUGCCAUGGAUAUGUAAUCUUGCAAUCGGUGACGGUCACAGUAGCCACUUGCUUGCUUUCCCCCACCUUGGCUUGCUGGCAGUGUGCACUCAGUCUGACUUCAGAGCCACAGGGCAGCAAACCCUGGCCAGGAGGUCCCAUGGCUCUUGGUGUUGGGCCGGAGAGCACCAGGGAGAACAGACGAGAGUUUCACGAAGGGCAGCUUCUAAUAUGCUGUCAUUCAGUGCUGGAUGUCAGCCAGUUCUCCAUCAGGCUGCAUGUAAAAUCUUGUUUGUCCUGGCAUUGAACUGCUUUUUCUUAUUGCAGAAAAGCUAUUCUGGAUCUACCAGAAUGAAAGUGAAAGUGUCAAGUACUCAGCUGAGAAUUGGAGAAUGGAAGAUACUGUCAGCCUGCGUUUUUUACCUGUGGAAGAGGAUGACAUUCUAUCAAAGCAGAACAACCCCCUUCUUGGUCUGUAAUAUUAUCACAAAACAUUCCCCUACUUCUGACAUUGGAGGAGGAAAACCAAACUCAUGUUUGGGUAGGGAGAGUGGCAACUCAGAAAGUGUCAUGGUAACAUGUCCAUGGAUCCAGUGUAGCUGCCUUGGUGUUUGCUGCUAA